RNAcentral lists this ribosomal RNA (253 nucleotides) under uncultured bacterium. RNAcentral's name for it is "partial 16S ribosomal RNA". It matches the Rfam family "Bacterial small subunit ribosomal RNA", at positions 524 to 776 of the family's 1533-position model. The record is from RNAcentral.
GACGGAGGGUGCAAGCGUUACUCGGAAUCACUGGGCGUAAAGGGUACGUAGGCGGCCCGCUAAGUUGGAUGUGAAAUCCCACGGUUCAACCGUGGAACUGCGUCCAAAACUGGUGGGCUUGAGAACGGUAGGGGACAGUGGAACUCCAGGUGGAGCGGUGAAAUGCGUAGAGAUCUGGAGGAACAUCAGUGGCGAAGGCGGCUUCCUGGACCAACAUUGACGCUGAGGUGCGAAAGCGUGGGUAGCAAACAGG